AGAAGAAAUGCUCCAGAAGCUAUCUGAUAAUAUUGUGCAAGAUGAUUCUAAAAGGAAGGAAUGUUAUACUGAAAAUUUACCAAAGCUGCCAAGAGUGAGGACACAGACACUGCAAACUGUGAACAACAGAAAGGGAAAACGGAAAACUCCACAGAACGACAGUAGAACAGAAGGCAGUUACUGUAGCACCAAGGAUUUCUGAAAAUAAAAAGCUUCCCAAUGGAUAAAA
Molecule: long non-coding RNA, 229 nt
Organism: Lacerta agilis (Sand lizard)
Lineage: Eukaryota; Metazoa; Chordata; Lepidosauria; Squamata; Lacertidae
Exons: 2
Source: RefSeq, a predicted model, not a curated record